Molecule: long non-coding RNA, 312 nt
Filed under: Cottoperca gobio
Lineage: Eukaryota; Metazoa; Chordata; Actinopteri; Perciformes; Bovichtidae
Description: lncRNA (ENSCGOG00000005019.1)
Source: RNAcentral
CACACCAGAGUGCUCAGACUUCCCCACUUCAGCUGAAACAGUGAUCUUGGCUGCUUGGGAUAACGGUGACAUUACUCGAGGGGUUCAUUCACUCCGGAGAUGCCAGGAUGGUGCGAAGGUUUGUCCAGAGACCUGCCUUUGUAACACAGUUGCAGGCGAAGAAGUUCUAAUGGCAGAAUUGACAGGUCUAUUUAAAGUCGAAGCUUGCCGAAACAGUCUGCCAGACAUGCCGAAUUAAACUUAAUUCCAUGCUUGCACUUCUAACUACGAGGAAGACGGUGCCCAGCUGGAUGUAAUGAACCCUGUGCUGCA